UGGGGAAUCUUAGACAAUGGGCGCAAGCCUGAUCUAGCGAUGCCGCGUGAGUGACGAAGGCCUUCGGGUUGUAAAGCCCUUUCACCGGGGACGAUGAUGACGGUACCCGGAGAAGAAGCACCGGCUAACUCCGUGCCAGCAGCCGCGGUAAGACGGAGGGUGCUAGCGUUGUUCGGAAUCACUGGGCGUAAAGGGCGCGUAGGCGGCGUCGCAAGUCGGCUUGUGAAAGCCCGGGGCUCAACCCCGGAGGUGCGGCCGAGACUGCGGUGCUCGAGGCCGGAAGAGGAGGGUGGAAUACCCAGUGUAGAGGUGAAAUUCGUAGAUAUUGGGUGGAACACCGGUGGCGAAAGCGGCUCUCUGGUCCGGUACUGACGCUGAGGCGCGAAAGCGUGGGGAGCAA
This 400-nucleotide ribosomal RNA is filed under the name uncultured bacterium. Its description in RNAcentral is "bacterial SSU rRNA". It matches the Rfam family "Bacterial small subunit ribosomal RNA", at positions 355 to 771 of the family's 1533-position model. The record is from RNAcentral.